Molecule: ribosomal RNA, 250 nt
Filed under: uncultured bacterium
Lineage: Bacteria
Description: partial 16S ribosomal RNA
Rfam family: Bacterial small subunit ribosomal RNA
Source: RNAcentral
UACGGAGGGUGCAAGCGUUACUCGGAAUCACUGGGCGUAAAGAGCGUGUAGGCGGAUAGUUAAGUUUGAAGUGAAAUCCAAUGGCUCAACCAUUGAACUGCUUUGAAAACUGAUUAUCUAGAAUAUGGGAGAGGUAGAUGGAAUUUCUGGUGUAGGGGUAAAAUCCGUAGAGAUCAGAAAGGAAUACCGAUUGCGAAGGCGAUCUACUGGAACAUUAUUGACGCUGAGACGCGAAAAGCGUGGGGAGCAA